This 2142-nucleotide small RNA is filed under the name Rattus norvegicus (Norway rat). RNAcentral's name for it is "uncharacterized LOC102552808". The record is from RNAcentral. Lineage: Eukaryota; Metazoa; Chordata; Mammalia; Rodentia; Muridae.
CUGUGCGCAUUUUUUUCUGUACGGCGGCAAAGGACGAUGAUUCAGGGAUGAUUCGAGAAGCAGCCAAGAAGCGAACAACUGUUUCUGUUUCCAAAACUGGAGCACUGAGGCCUGGGAAAGGAAAGGUGCACUCUGGAGAGGAAGCCCCCCUUUCUCCAUGUAGAAAAUACUACAGCUGUGUGGGCAGGAGCCCAGCUACAAGAACAGCCACGAGUGGGGGGCUGACAACCCUUCUGCAGACUCCUCUACUAGGAAACUGAGGCUAUGUGCAGCAUGGCUUCACACUGAGGGGCCAUGCCCUCUGGUCUUUGUAUGGCCCAGUGUCCUUCCAGCCUCUGGGAUGACUUCAUUUGUUGCUGUAUACAAAUGACGGCUCUUGAGGAGUAAUCUAAAUCUACUGGCACUUCUAAUUGUAAGCAUGUGUUUUCAACAACACUGGAUGUGGCUCCCCUGCCCGCAGGAGUGGUGGCUGUUAGAAACUGAUUGACCAGGCAACCUGGAAACAGACUGACCAGUACAGAAGCAGAACCAUCCUUUAAUGAGAACAAUGAAGAACAGUUGUCUCUCAUGCAGUGGAGGCCGCCAGUGUGUGCUUCGGGCUUUAUAGGGCUGAAGAGGGAUUUGUGAAAGGGAAGUUUUAGCUGUUGAUGUGGACUUUGUAGUUUCAAGGCCCAGUGUCAGCAGAAGUUCUCAUUACCUGACUUUCAUGUUGGACAGGUGUUCUUAUCAGUACCCUGGGUCUGGAGUUCCUCCUUGUCUUUGAAGUUCCCUGUUUUAGACCGAGGUUAUCUGGCAAGCCAGAUAGAAGCUACUGGGACCUGAAGUAGCCUCUCGCGUGGAUAUUCCAAAGCAAGGUCCACAAAAAGAACUCUACAACCCUGGAGUCAAAACAGGCCCAGGACAGACUUGCAAUCAAUUAAAUAACCUAGAGGAGCAGGGACUUUGUAUCAAGGUACAGGUUUGUAGACGCCUACGUGUCCAGGCUGAAUUGAUCAAAAAGUAGCCAUGUGAACACAGGUCUUAUUCAAGAUCUCUUUUGUGUCAGUAUCUCUCCUUGAUUCAGCAUCCAAGGACACACAGUUCUGUGUGGGCAGAUUGAAGAAAGACAGGCUACCCUAUGCUGUCCAGUCCCAGCACAGUACAUCCUCUAUGCUCGGGGUUUGCUUAGCUGACACCUUGGCCAAGGCUUCUUUCUGCCUUCACUGGUGCCUACGAGUUCGGUAACAAGUAUUGAAGUGUGCCCCUUGUAACGCCGACGUGUGUUUUCCGUUUAUUACUUCCUGUGGACUGAGGGUAACUCAUAGAACUGCAGUGCGUGCUGAAGAGUGUGGACUAUGCCCAGAAGGACACUCACAGACAAAAUGGUCUCCUGUUCUCAUCUUUCCAGCACUCCUCUCGUCUGGUCUCUUCUCCACUAGUCGGAGUCUGAGAUGCGUGUGUGGUUUUUUUAGACUUCCCUAAAAGGUCCCCUGCCCAAGCUGGGGGCCGCAUCGUGGGUUACUCCAACCUGUUUGUCUUCUCAACUCCUGGAUCCACUGAAAACUACCGUGUUCCUAACUCACUGUAGUCAAGCUUCUUGGGUGUGGGGAGUAUUGUUUGGAAUUUUGUUGUUGCUGCUGCUGCUGCUGCUGCUGCAGCUGUUUGUUUUGGAGACAGAAUCUUGAGUAGCCCAGGGUGGCCUCAAUCUAACUGUGUAACUGAGGCAGGUCUUGAGCUCUCGAUAGUCUUGCCUCAGCUUCUUAGGUACUGGAAUGACCUCAUGUGCCACCACACCUGGCUUCCUUGUGAUAAAGUCUUGCUUUCUGCCUUAUGUGGCAACGCUGGUCUGUCAGCCAGACAUGUUCAUGGGUUUAUUCUCUUCCUCACCAGGAUCUCCCCCUGGACACUUGACCUCAUAAAAACCAGAGCCCUGAGAUGGAGCCAAGGACAUGCAUAAAGCUGUAGCCGGAAGAGAACAGAUGACUGAGGGAAAUAAUUUUAGGACAUUUUGGGAAUGGCAGAUGCUAAGUGGCUUCCAGGUUUUUAAAUGUUCUCUGUUGUGCUCUGUUUACUUUAUGACCAGUCCAUGUUUUGUCACUGAGGUACUCAGACCUUAUAAAAAGAAAAACUUUAGCUUGCAGUUUGAAAAGCUUUAAAAUCGAA